Molecule: ribosomal RNA, 253 nt
Filed under: uncultured bacterium
Lineage: Bacteria
Description: partial 16S ribosomal RNA
Rfam family: Bacterial small subunit ribosomal RNA
Source: RNAcentral
UACGUAGGGGGCAAGCGUUAUCCGGAUUUACUGGGUGUAAAGGGAGCGUAGGUGGCAUGGUAAGCCAGAAGUGAAACCCGGGGCUCAACCCCGCGGAUUGCUUUUGGAACUAUCAGGCUGGAGUGCUGGAGGGGUAAGCGGAAUUCCUAGUGUAGCGGUGAAAUGCGUAGAUAUUAGGAGGAACACCGGUGGCGAAGGCGGCUUACUGGACAGAAACUGACACUGAGGCUCGAAAGCGUGGGGAGCAAACAGG